GCUUAGCCUUAAACUCUUAAUUACACCACAAACGCCUGGGAACUACAAGCAAAGCUUGAAACCCAAAGGACUUGACGGUGCCCCACAUCCCCCUAGAGGAGCCUGUCCUAUGACCGAUAACCCCCGUUAAACCUCACCCUCUUUAGCACACUCAGUCUGUAUACCUCCGUCGUCAACUUACCACAUGAGUGACUUUUAGUAAGUUUAAUGUCCUUACUCGUCAACACGUCAGGUCAAGGUGCAACUAAUGAGAGGGGAAGAGAUGGGCUACACUCUCUAUUAUAGAAUAUACGGAGAACUAAUAUGAAAGCUAGUUCAAAGGUGGAUUUAGUAGUAAAAGGGGUCAGAGAGCCCCUUUUAACUCGGCAAUGGGGUGUGUACACACCGCCCGUCACCCUCUUCGUAGCACUGGUUAAAGUACAUAACUAAACUCCGCAUCGUAGAAGAGGUAAGUCGUAACAUGGUAAGUAUACCGGAAGGUGUGCUUGGAACC
RNAcentral lists this ribosomal RNA (493 nucleotides) under Aplastodiscus leucopygius (Guinle treefrog). RNAcentral describes it as "partial small subunit ribosomal RNA". It matches the Rfam family "Bacterial small subunit ribosomal RNA", at positions 794 to 1524 of the family's 1533-position model. Lineage: Eukaryota; Metazoa; Chordata; Amphibia; Anura; Hylidae. The record is from RNAcentral.